RNAcentral lists this ribosomal RNA (451 nucleotides) under uncultured bacterium. Its description in RNAcentral is "partial 16S ribosomal RNA". It matches the Rfam family "Bacterial small subunit ribosomal RNA", at positions 28 to 507 of the family's 1533-position model. The record is from RNAcentral.
GAUGAACGCUGGCGGCGUGCCUAACACAUGCAAGUCGAGCGGCAGCGAGGGGUGCUUGCACCCUGUCGGCGAGCGGCGGACGGCUGAGUAACGCGUGGGAACGUGCCCCAAAGUGAGGAAUAACUGCCCGAAAGGGUAGCUAAUACCGCAUAUUAUCUUCGGAUCAAAGGAUUUAUCCGCUUUGGGAGCGGCUCGCGUCGGAUUAGGUAGUUGGUGAGGUAAUGGCUCACCAAGCCGACGAUCCGUAGCUGGUCUGAGAGGAUGACCAGCCAGACUGGAACUGAGACACGGUCCAGACUCCUACGGGAGGAAGCAGUGAGGAAUCUUCCACAAUGGGCGAAAGCCUGAUGGAGCAACGCCGCGUGCAGGACGAAGGCCUUCGGGUUGUAAACUGCUUUUAUAAGUGAGGAAUAUGACGGUAACUGAUGAAUAAGGAUCGGCUAACUACGUG